AAUCAACGCUGGCGGCGCGCUUAACACAUGCAAGUCGAACGAGAAAGGGGAGCAAUCCCUGAGUACAGUGGCGUACGGGUGAGUAACACGUGGGUGAUCUACCUCUUAGGUGGGGGAUAACUCUGGGAAACCGGAGUUAAUACCGCAUAAGCUUGAGAGAGGAAAGCAGCAAUGCGCUGAGAGAGGAGCCCGCGGCCGAUUAGCUAGUUGGUAGGUAAAGCCUACCAAGGCAAAGAUCGGUAGCCGGCCUGAGAGGGCACACGGCCACACUGGGCACUGAAACACGGGCCAGACUCCGUACGGGAGGCAGCAGGUGGGGAAUCUUGCACAAGUAGGGGGAACCCUGAUGCAGCGACGCCGCGUGAGCGAUGAACG
This 375-nucleotide ribosomal RNA is filed under the name uncultured bacterium. RNAcentral's name for it is "bacterial SSU rRNA". It matches the Rfam family "Bacterial small subunit ribosomal RNA", at positions 29 to 414 of the family's 1533-position model. The record is from RNAcentral.